UACAGAGGUCCCAAGCGUUGUUCGGAUUCACUGGGCGUAAAGGGUGCGUAGGUGGCUGGGAAAGUUUGAUGUGAAAGCUCGGAGCUUAACUCCGAAAUGGCAUUGAAUACUUCCUAGCUGGAGGGUCGGAGGGGAGACUGGAAUUCUCGGUGUAGCAGUGAAAUGCGUAGAUAUCGAGAGGAACACCAGUGGCGAAGGCGAGUCUCUGGACGACUCCUGACACUGAGGCACGAAAGCUAGGGGAGCAAACAGG
RNAcentral lists this ribosomal RNA (253 nucleotides) under uncultured bacterium. Its description in RNAcentral is "partial 16S ribosomal RNA". It matches the Rfam family "Bacterial small subunit ribosomal RNA", at positions 524 to 776 of the family's 1533-position model. The record is from RNAcentral.